RNAcentral lists this unclassified non-coding RNA (192 nucleotides) under uncultured Agaricomycetes. Its description in RNAcentral is "sequence contains ITS1". Lineage: Eukaryota; Fungi; Basidiomycota; Agaricomycetes. The record is from RNAcentral.
UCGCAUCUCUGGCGGCGCUGGGUGCGCCCUGCUCCGGCCGCAAAGCCGUGCAGCGGGCGUCCCGGCCCGUCCAACCUUUGCAAACCCACUGUGCACAUUCACGGCGGAUGGCCCCCUGUGGGCCUGAAGCCGCUUCACCAACCCCAAGUUACAAACGAAUGUGAUGCGGCAUCUGUCGCCCAACAAACAUAA